GACGAACGCUGGCGGCGUGCCUAACACAUGCAAGUCGAACGGGACUUAAUGGAAAGCGACUUCGGUCAAUGGAAGUUAAGUUUAGUGGCGAACGGGUGAGUAACGCGUGAGAAACCUGCCUUUCAGUGGGGGACAACAGUUGGAAACGACUGCUAAUACCGCAUAAUGUAUUCGGGGGGCAUCCCCUGAAUACCAAAGCUUUAUGUGCUGAAAGAUGGUCUCGCGUCUGAUUAGCUAGAUGGCGGGGUAACGGCCCACCAUGGCGACGAUCAGUAGCCGGUCUGAGAGGAUGAACGGCCACAUUGGGACUGAGAUACGGCCCAG
Molecule: ribosomal RNA, 324 nt
Filed under: uncultured bacterium
Lineage: Bacteria
Description: bacterial SSU rRNA
Rfam family: Bacterial small subunit ribosomal RNA
Source: RNAcentral